GUGCUGAGGUGCAGCCUCCCUGCUCAGGAGCUAGAGAUGAUUUGAAUUGCCUGAGGUGGCUACCAGCAGAAAGAAAACAGUGACUACUGAGGACUCAGUCACCAACUGUCACCCUCAAGAAGGUGCCGACUACAGCUUUCAAGGCAACAGGUUCUGCCUUGCAGGCAAGACUGCAGCCCAGUAGGAUGUCCAGUGACCAUGUAGUGGCUGGGUGCCACCUGAGGCCCUCCCUCCAGCAACCUUAAGCAGCACCUGCAGACACACUGAGCGCCUGAACAGCACUUUUCUAUGCCUUGCUUCCCAUGAAAAUAACCAUGACUGGGGAAAGAAGGAAUAAAGGUUGCCAUGUGCCCCUGGAAGCUAAGUGGGGGGGAUCCUGGCACAGAAGUGUGCGCCAUAGACAGUCCACAGAGGAGAAGCCAACAGGGCACACAGAUAAGAGAGGAGCAGCAACCCAGCCUGUUGCACCAUGGGAAGUCUUAGGAUCUUCGACCUGUGAGCUAGGAACUCAAGAAGGCUGGUAGUCGGGGCCCAGUCCAAACUCAAGGACCAAGAACCAGGAAAGGCGGUUGUCUCCAUGCUGGCUUUAUCCACGGACCAGGGACACCCACAGGCCUGAGCAGGAAGAGGUGGCAUCCGGCCCUGGGAGUAGAGAUGGGCCUUUCCUGGACCCUCUUGUUCUUUCCAGACCCUUGGUGGGUGGGUGAUGCCCAGGGCAAUGGGUAGAGCAUCAUCGUUCCGGCUGGUUUUCAAAUGCUUCUGGACCUGCACAGACACCCCCGAAACAGUGCUCCAUCAGCUAGCUGGAAGUCAGGCUCCCACAUACGAUGCUUAUUCUAUUAUAUCAAAGUGAGCCAAGCACUCAGCACACACCUGUAACCUCACCCACAGGAAACUGACAAAGGAGGUUUGGGAUUUUGAGGACAACCUGGGCCUAGAGACCUUGUCUC
RNAcentral lists this long non-coding RNA (950 nucleotides) under Mus musculus (house mouse). RNAcentral's name for it is "long non-coding RNA chr17:25649776-25650726". Lineage: Eukaryota; Metazoa; Chordata; Mammalia; Rodentia; Muridae. The record is from RNAcentral.